This 253-nucleotide ribosomal RNA is filed under the name uncultured bacterium. Its description in RNAcentral is "partial 16S ribosomal RNA". It matches the Rfam family "Bacterial small subunit ribosomal RNA", at positions 524 to 776 of the family's 1533-position model. The record is from RNAcentral.
UACGAAGGGGGCUAGCGUUGUUCGGAAUUACUGGGCGUAAAGCGCACGUAGGCGGAUUGUUAAGUUAGAGGUGAAAGCCCAGGGCUCAACCCUGGAAUUGCCUUUGAUACUGGCAGUCUAGAGAUCGGAAGAGGUGAGUGGAAUUCCUAGUGUAGAGGUGAAAUUCGUAGAUAUUAGGAAGAACACCAGUGGCGAAGGCGGCUCACUGGUCCGAUUCUGACGCUGAGGUGCGAAAGCGUGGGGAGCAAACAGG